RNAcentral lists this ribosomal RNA (873 nucleotides) under uncultured archaeon. RNAcentral describes it as "bacterial SSU rRNA". It matches the Rfam family "Archaeal small subunit ribosomal RNA", at positions 1 to 881 of the family's 1478-position model. The record is from RNAcentral.
CUCCGGUGGAUCUGGCGGGACCUGACUGCUAUCGGAUUGGUACUAGAGCCAUGCGAGUCAUUGUAGCAAUACAAGGCAUACGGCUCAGUAACACGUAGUCAACCUAACUCGCGGACGUGGAUAACCUCGGGAAACUGAGAAUAAACCACGAUAGAUCAUUCUGCCUGGAAUGGCUUAUGGUCGAAAUAGUUUACUGCCACGGGAUGGGACUGCGGCCUAUCAGCUUGUUGGCGGGGUAAUGGCCCACCAAGGCUAUAACAGGUACGGGCUCUGAGAGGAGAAGCCCGGAGAUGGGUACUGAGACACGGACCCAGGCCCUAUGGGGCGCAGCAGGCGAGAAACCUUAGCAAUGUGCGAAAGCACGACUGGGUCAGUCCGAGUGAUUCCUGCUAAAGGAAUCUUUUGCUUGUCCUAAAAGCACAGGUGAAUAAGGGGUGGGCAAGUCUGGUGUCAGCCGCCGCGGUAAUACCAGCACCUCGAGUGGUCAGGACGUUUAUUGGGCCUAAAGCAUCCGUAGCCGGCUUUGCAAGUCUCCGGUUAAAUCCACCUGCUCAACAGAUGGGCUGCUGGAGAUACUACAAAGCUAGGGAGUGGGAGAGGCGGACGGUAUUCAGUGGGUAGGGGUAAAAUCCUCUGAUCCAUCGAGGACCACCAGUGGCGAAGGCGGUCCGCCAGAACACGUUCGACGGUGAGGGAUGAAAGCUGGGGGAGCAAACCGGAUUAGAUACCCGGGUAGUCCCAGCUGUAAACGAUGCAAACUCGGUGAUGCGUUGGUUUAUGGCCAAUGCAGUGCCGCAGGGAAGCCCGUUAAGUUGCCGCCUGGGAAGUACGGACGCCAGUCUGAAACUUAAGGAAUUUGCCGGGGGACCCCAA